This is a non-coding RNA of Chiloscyllium plagiosum (whitespotted bambooshark), 1012 nucleotides long. NCBI's taxonomy places the organism in Eukaryota, Metazoa, Chordata, Chondrichthyes, Orectolobiformes, Hemiscylliidae. The record is from RefSeq and is a predicted model, not a curated record.
CGCUCGCUCUCUCUCUCUAAUGAAUCCCGGUGCUCGAGCCACAAGCUGAAUAACAGACAGCCGCUCCACCAAUCAGCAGCCUUCUCCGCGUCUGAGUGACGUAAUCACGCCACGCCAUCAACGUCUCUCCCUGGCGCGAGCAAUGAACUACUAUAUGCUGUGGAAGACUAAUUCUGUUCAGUUGAUACCAGUGACUGCAUGAAUGUAAAGAGUUUCUACAAAGCAUUGAGACAUACAAAGCAUGCGAGGGAAUCUGCAGCACUCUUCCUUCUGGGUACUAGAGGUCACAGAUUGGUCCAAACGAAAUAUGCCAGAUCCAUAGACAUUUUCAUCACAACAUUUGUUGGAGGGUUCCUAACCACACCAUUCCUGUCUGAAGGCACUGACCCCUUCUUGGAGAAUGCUAUGGCUGACAACUCUGCCAAGAGAAUAUUUAAAGGAGGUUCUGAUAGAUUUUGAUCAAGUGAAUGGAGUAAGACCACUGACCUCUGGAGAGUGAAAGAAAUGGGAAUUCUUUUCCCAACAUCCACAACAGUGGAGAAACUGUUCUAUCCCCAAGGCUGAAGGGGAUAUGUGUGUGUUCAGAUGAGGUGAUGAUCGUGACUUUCCUUGGACCAUCUGUUCAAAUAAAACUGCCCCCAAAAGACACUGUUGAGGAGAAAAUUACAUGCUUAUUUAACCUGCACUACAUGAUGGGGGAUAGAAGAAUUGUCAAAACUUUCUGAAAGUCUGGUCAUAAAAGUAAUUUAUGAAGUUGUGAGAAAAGCAAGCCACUUAAAGAGAAAACCAACAACCAAAAUAUAAAUCAAACGUGACUGAACAUGUUUAUGAGACUGAAGUAGACACAAUAAACAGACAGUGGAGCACAAAGGCUGGAGAGUCGAGUCUAUUAACCUUAACAGCGACCCGGUUUGCACUGCAAUUGCACCGAAUAUCAACUGAAAUGUCCUUGUCGAUGUUGUGGAGAACAAUUUAUCAGAUCUGAAGAAAGCAUUAUUUAUUAAUUGUUAUG